Molecule: ribosomal RNA, 444 nt
Filed under: uncultured bacterium
Lineage: Bacteria
Description: bacterial SSU rRNA
Rfam family: Bacterial small subunit ribosomal RNA
Source: RNAcentral
GAUGAGCGCUGGCGGUAUGCCUAACACAUGCAAGUCGUACGCCUCACUUCGGUGAGGAGUGGCGGACGGGUGAGUAACACGUUAGUACCUGCCCCAAAGUGGGGAAUAACUGCCCGAAAGGGUAGCUAAUACCCCAUAGUCUCCGGUUUAUCCGGAGUAAAGAUUUAUCGCUUUGGGAGGGGCUUGCGUUUCGAUUAGCUAGUUGGUGAGGGUAAUGGCCCACCAAGGCGACGAUCAAUAGCUGGAUCGAGAGGUUGACCAGCCACACUGGGACUGAGAUACGGCCCAGACUCCUACGGGAGGCAGCAGUGAGGAAUCUUCCACAAUGGGCGAAAGCCUGAUGGAGCAAUACCGCGUGCAGGAUGAAGCUUUUCGGAGUGUAAACUGCUUUUCUGAAGGAAGAUUAUGACGGUACUUCAGGAAUAAGGAUCGGCUAACUACGUG